GGAUAACUCAGUUGGUUAGAGCGUGGUGCUGAUGACGGCAAGGUUGCAGGUUCGAUCCCUGCAUGGGGCAUCG
This 73-nucleotide transfer RNA is filed under the name Podarcis lilfordi (Lilford's wall lizard). Its description in RNAcentral is "tRNA.Ile". The record is from RNAcentral. Lineage: Eukaryota; Metazoa; Chordata; Lepidosauria; Squamata; Lacertidae.